CGUCUAUAUACGUAUAGCAUAUCAAUAAGCGGAGGAAAAGAAACUAACUAGGAUUCCCUCAGUAACGGCGAGUGAAGCGGGAAGAGCUCAAAUUUGAAAUCUUCAAGGUUUUACCUUGACGAAUUGUAGUUUAAAGAAGUGUUUUCUGUUGGAGUUUUGGUAAAAGUUCUUUGGAAUAGGACAUCAUAGAGGGUGAGAAUCCCGUAUUUGACCAUUAUUUCCAACUUUGUGAUACACUUUCAAAGAGUCGGAUUGUUUGGGAAUGCAGUCCAAAAUGGGUGGUAAAUUUCAUCUAAAGCUAAAUACUGGCGAGAGACCGAUAGCGAACAAGUACCGUGAGGGAAAGAUGAAAAGAACUUUGAAAAGAGAGUUAAACAGUACGUGAAAUUGUCAAAAGGGAAGCGUUUGACACCAGUGUUGUUUUCUCGAAAAUCAAUUAAAAAUGGCAGGAUUUUGUGUUGUAUUGACUUUAUCAGCUUUCUGCACUUUUUUCCUGUCUUUUUUAAUGCACUUUUCGUUUAACAAGUCAACAUCAAUUUCUUUUGUUGUAAAAGGGUCAUUGGAAGGUGGCUUUCUUUUCGGAGAAAGUGUUUAUAGCCUUUGACUUCUGCAAUCGGAGAGAUUGAGGUCUGCAGCGUAGAUCCUUCGGGGUUAGAUAGCAUUUGUGCUAAGCUUAUAGCCUUUCAUAGACAACUUGUUGACUAUGAUCAGUCAUGUAGCUUACUCGCUUAUGUCUAUUUUACCUACGCUUAGGAUGUUGACGAUCAGCUGAGCGCG
This 777-nucleotide ribosomal RNA is filed under the name uncultured Neocallimastigales. RNAcentral's name for it is "partial large subunit ribosomal RNA". It matches the Rfam family "Eukaryotic large subunit ribosomal RNA", at positions 26 to 628 of the family's 3401-position model. The record is from RNAcentral. Lineage: Eukaryota; Fungi; Neocallimastigomycota; Neocallimastigomycetes; Neocallimastigales.